GUGAAGCUGGAUUCGCUAGUAAUCGCGCAUCAGCCAUGGCGCGGUGAAUACGUUCCCGGGCCUUGUACACACCGCCCGUCAAGCCAUGGGAGCCGGGAGUGCCUGAAGUCCGUGACCGCGAGGAGCGGCCUAGGGUAAGACCGGUGACUGGGGCUAAGUCGUAACAAGGUAAC
This 173-nucleotide ribosomal RNA is filed under the name uncultured bacterium. Its description in RNAcentral is "partial 16S ribosomal RNA". It matches the Rfam family "Bacterial small subunit ribosomal RNA", at positions 1320 to 1500 of the family's 1533-position model. The record is from RNAcentral.